AAAUGCUGUCAAGCAUGGCUUCAAAGUCAGUACUUUGCAUGUGGACAUCCAGUUUCCAUGUGCCAUGUAUUUGAGGAGACUGUACUUUUCCCAUUGAAUGACCUUGUCAAAAUUCAUUUGACUGCAUACAUAAUGGUUUAUUUCUGGACUGUGUAGUUUAUCCCAUUAGACUAUAUGUCUAUCUUUAUGCCAUGCUAUUUGAAUUAUUAUAUCUUUGUACUAUGUUUUGAAAUCAGGAAGUGUCAGUCCUCUCAUUUUGUUCUUAAUUUUCAAGAUUGCUCUAGCUAUUCAGGAUCCUUGAGUUUCCAUGGGAAUUUUAGACUAUGUUUUUCUCUUUCUGCACAACAUAUUAUUGUGGUUUUUAUAGAAUUACACUGAAUCUAUGGAUCACUUGGAAUUUUAACUAUUGACAUUUAUUAUUGACAUUUUAACAAUAUUAAGGUUUAUAAUCGAUGUACAUAUUAAGACUUGCAAUCCAUGCCUUUAGCAGUUCCUGCUAUCCUUCUUUUCUAUUUUCUAUGGAAAGAGCUCAUUCUUCUUUGUAGUCUCCUUCCAUGGUAAGUUGUAACUGCCAAGGAGACAGGAAGUUGUUUUGUAUAAUGCACCCCUACCUCCAGGUCACAUCAAAUAAACAUAAAAAAUGAGUGAAAUGAGAGUAUUAAUUAUGCAAACAUAGCUCUAAAAUGAUUUCCCUAGUUCCCUCUUCAAAACAUGUACUAGAGCCAUUUCAUUUCUUAGAAAAUUUGUCUGUGAUUUUUGCAAGAAUAACAGAUUGGCAGAGAAAAUUCACUGUAAUAAAAACAACAGGUUAUAUAGAGAAGGCAACGUCUCAAAGGUCCAUUAAGGAUUCUAUCUCAUGAAUCAUAUGAAAUUGCCAAUAUUUGAUCCUUUUGACCUAUAAGAAAAUGUAGUCUUGUAUACAUAGUUUAACCAAGAAGUAGGUUUGAUGGAUGCUCAGGUAGUAUUUCUAAGAACUCUAAUGGUUAUCAUCUCAUCAAAAGUCUCCUUUUCUACACUCUGCCAUCAAUAUUAUUCAGCAAAUCUCUUUGACUCUACUUUUUUGUAAAUAAUUUCAUUGGCUGCUCCCUUUACAAACUAGUAAAAUCUCAACAUACAUUUGUAUGUGAUUCCAUAAAAAGAGAAUUUAACUGAUGUAUCCAUUUACCACUGCCACCUUGGGGCAGAGACUUAUAACCAGAUAAAAAAAUCUUUAUUGAAUUUUAAAUUAUAUCAAAAUCUAUUUGAGGUGAUCAUUGAUGUUAGAUGUUUCAACUUCAUAUUCUAUAGAUAUCAAAGACAGAUAAUUUUUCCAAUUUACGUAAUUAGAUUUAUAUUUAUGCAUAGAAUUUUUCCUGGAAAUAAUUCCACAUUUUUAAGUUAUCCAGUACUGUGUAAUUGGUAUGUUGUACUUAAUUAACCGGUUAGCAGUAUAAUGCAAACAAGACCCUCAUUCCAAAAUCAAACCUUAAUAAAAUAUCAGAUAAUAUAUGAAGGAAAUUAGUGUAGAUUUAUUAAGUAAAACAGUACACAUUUUGCAGUGAAAUUUAGAGAUUAAAUAUGUCCUUGGGUCAUUGAAUUCUUUUUUAUCAUUAAUAUUUUAGAUUGUGAUAUCUAUCUUUUACUUUGUAUAGACUAAUAUUAACUUCAAGCAAUACUUUGUAACUGUGCACAUCUGAAUCUUCUCUUUUGUUGAGACUGUAUGCAUAGAAAUCAGGUGAAUGCUGGGAGAGGUUUACUGACUUUGCCUUUUAUGUUGCUCUCCUGUGUGAUGUUCGACCCUGCUCCGUAUGCAAUAAUACAACAAAAGUUCCAAAACAAAACUGAACAUGAAUAAGCCCCAUUCAAUCAAGCAUGGUAGAGGGGAAAUACAGGUUCUCUAAGAAUCCUGGGAGCUAGGUUGACAUCCUUAAGAACCCUAGGAACUCUGAGCAUCUGUCUCCUGACCUAUAAAAAUGAAAUAUGGAUUUUUGCUACAUCUAAUUCAUAGAGUUGAUGUGGUGACAAAAGAGGUGAUGGUGAAAGAAUACUGUUAAGAAAUUGUUGUGAAAUAUACAAAGAGGUCUGUUAUUCAUAGAUGAGGAAAUUUAUUAACUCUAAAUAUCUAAUUAAUUGUAGAACAUUUAAAAAAAUUCCAUGCACUUCUUUCUUUGAAAUUUUAUGGAGAAUGGUACAAACCUGAGGACAAUGGUUAGAGUCAUAUCACCUGUGUUUAAAAAACGUUAGUGUAAAUUAUUCCUGUGCAAUUUAGUUCAGUUCUUGGUCUGGCUCUGGUGCAAGGGGAGAAUAAUUAUCUAUACCUGUAGCAGACAUUUACAUCAUGACAUGCCAUGCUAUUAUUAGAUCUUGUCAUUAGCUGGGUUUUAUCUGAGUCAUGCAAACAUAAUUCUUUACAUAAUAUCCUGAUUUUCUAGGUGUUUAGUCAUCUCUUUUCCUUUCUACUGUACAGUUUUUUAAAUUUCUAUUAAGUUUGAGACACCGAAUGUGGAAAUACUAUUCAACUAACAACAAGACCAAGGAUAAUUGUAAUUCCCCCACAUUCUCUCGGUAGUAUUCAUUUUUAAUAUUUGAGACUCAUGCUUGAUAAUAACUUUAUCAAAUAAUUUUUGGUUAUCUUCCACCACCUGUUUCCCUAAAGUGGGAAAAUAUAUAAGCCUCAUAUUGAUAUAUUUACAUGCUAUCAUUUUUCCUAUAUUGCUUUACUAUGUAAGUGCCUUGUUAUUUUGCUCCCAACUUAGCUUCCUUUUGAGGUUGGAAUUAUUGGUUAGUAGUAUUAUGAAAGGCCUCACAUUUAUUAUUCAGUUACAGUACACAAAUAAUAUAAAAUAUGGGCUGACAUGGAAUUGCAUUUUUAUUAACAAUAGUGGCUAAACUUUUGAUGAAAAAAAAUUAAUGCCAUGGUUACUCGUUUUAGCAAAACCCAAACAUCUUUGCUCAUUUCUAGGGAAGAAAAUGGUCAGUGGGGCCUUCGUAUUUUCCUUGCAAGGUUAUCAUUGUUAUCUUUGAGGACUCCUUGGCCUUUCUUUUUGGCCACAAGAUCAUUCACACACAUAGUAGUUUGUAGAUAAUGCAUUCAAUAUGCAAGUGGUGAAUUCUGAUAUAUAACCAAUUCCAGAAAGAAAAAAAAAAUUCUUUUUAAGUAAUAAAAACCAAUGAUAAACACACCCUAUUUAAUAUAUUUGAAACAUAUUACACAAUAAUAACCAAAUAGCCUCAUCCCAUUUAUAUGAACCUGUCUUUCACUUCAUAGCUUAUAAGUACGUUGUGUAUUUUUGAAAAAUAUACACCAAACUUUUCAGUAAUACUUCAAAGAACUUUCCCUCCAACACAGAAUUCCUCUAUAAUUACCUAGAAAUAUUUUUAUUAGUUCUGACUCUAUAAAGUUUAGCAGGAUAAUAAAGAUGUCUGCAUAAAGGAAUUUUUCAUAGUUUGGAAAAAAAUUGCUACCAUCUCCUCUCAGGAAGUUUUAGUUAUAUUAGGAGACAACUGUAACCUCAAACCACAACGAAAAGGAAACUGGCUGAAUGCGAUAAAUGUUAAGUAGAGGUGUGGAAAAUCCUUAAGAGGUGAAAAUUUAGAAUUUCACCUAGGCACUGAAAGCAGCAGUGGUUAACAAAUCCCCCUACGUACUUUUGCGUUCUAGAAAAAUGGCUUACCGCAAAGAACCAUCCUUUCCCGUAUCAUUUACUUACACUUGCUCCUCAGUCUUUCUCACGGCCCCCGUAAGUCUCGUGGAUACCACUUUUCCUUAUCUACGAAGACUAAACACAGAGUUUUAGCCUUUUGCCUAAACACAACAAGGCCAGACACAGACCUUCCAAUCCUUUGUCUCUUGAAUAAUAAGCAGAAC
RNAcentral lists this long non-coding RNA (3847 nucleotides) under Sus scrofa (pig). RNAcentral describes it as "lncRNA (ENSSSCG00060038284.1)". Lineage: Eukaryota; Metazoa; Chordata; Mammalia; Artiodactyla; Suidae. The record is from RNAcentral.